This 760-nucleotide ribosomal RNA is filed under the name uncultured bacterium. Its description in RNAcentral is "bacterial SSU rRNA". It matches the Rfam family "Bacterial small subunit ribosomal RNA", at positions 60 to 821 of the family's 1533-position model. The record is from RNAcentral.
CGACGAGAAUUACCGGCAGAUCCCUUCGGGGUGAAGCCGGUAAUGGAAAGUGGCGGACGGGCGAGUAACGCGUGAGUAACCUGCCCAUAAGAGGGGGAUAAUCCAUGGAAACGUGGACUAAUACCGCAUAUUGAAUAUUUACCGCAUGGUAGAUAUUUGAAAGAUUUAUCGCUUAUGGAUGGACUCGCGUCAGAUUAGCUGGUUGGUGAGGUAACGGCUCACCAAGGCGACGAUCUGUAGCCGAACUGAGAGGUUGAUCGGCCGCAUUGGGACUGAGACACGGCCCAGACUCCUACGGGAGGCAGCAGUGGGGAAUAUUGCGCAAUGGGGGGAACCCUGACGCAGCAACGCCGCGUGCAGGAAGAGGGUCUUCGGAUUGUAAACUGUUGUCGCAGGGGAAGAAGACAGUGACGGUACCCUGUGAGAAAGUCACGGCUAACUACGUGCCAGCAGCCGCGGUAAUACGUAGGUGACAAGCGUUGUCCGGAUUUACUGGGUGUAAAGGGCGCGUAGGCGGAUGUGCAAGUCAGUCGUGAAAUACCGGGGCUCAACCCCGGGGCUGCGAUUGAAACUGCACACCUUGAGUAUCGGAGAGGAAAGCGGAAUUCCUAGUGUAGCGGUGAAAUGCGUAGAUAUUAGGAGGAACACCAGUGGCGAAGGCGGCUUUCUGGACGACAACUGACGCUGAGGCGCGAAAGUGUGGGGAGCAAACAGGAUUAGAUACCCUGGUAGUCCACACCGUAAACGAUGGAUACUAGGU